This 324-nucleotide ribosomal RNA is filed under the name uncultured bacterium. RNAcentral describes it as "bacterial SSU rRNA". It matches the Rfam family "Bacterial small subunit ribosomal RNA", at positions 30 to 353 of the family's 1533-position model. The record is from RNAcentral.
AUUGAACGCUGGCGGCAUGCCUUACACAUGCAAGUCGAACGGCAGCACGGGAGCAAUCCUGGUGGCGAGUGGCGAACGGGUGAGUAAUGUAUCGGAACGUACCUUUCAGUGGGGGAUAACGUAGCGAAAGUUACGCUAAUACCGCAUAUUCUGUGAGCAGGAAAGCAGGGGAUCGCAAGACCUUGCGCUGAUUGAGCGGCCGAUAUCAGAUUAGCUAGUUGGUGAGGUAAAGGCUCACCAAGGCGACGAUCUGUAGCGGGUCUGAGAGGAUGAUCCGCCACACUGGAACUGAGACACGGUCCAGACUCCUACGGGGAGGCAGCA